Molecule: ribosomal RNA, 925 nt
Filed under: Plasmodium inui
Lineage: Eukaryota; Apicomplexa; Aconoidasida; Haemosporida; Plasmodiidae
Description: SSU rRNA
Rfam family: Eukaryotic small subunit ribosomal RNA
Source: RNAcentral
UUCUUGAGUGUGUACUUGUUAAGCCUUUUAAGAAAAAAGUUAUUAACUUAAGGAAUUAUAACAAAGAAGCAACACGUAAAUGGAUUUUCCAUUUUUUAGUGUGUAUCAAUCGAGUUUCUGACCUAUCAGCUUUUGAUGUUAGGGUAUUGGCCUAACAUGGCUAUGACGGGUAACGGGGAAUUAGAGUUCGAUUCCGGAGAGGGAGCCUGAGAAAUAGCUACCACAUCUAAGGAAGGCAGCAGGCGCGUAAAUUACCCAAUUCUAAAGAAGAGAGGUAGUGACAAGAAAUAACAAUACAAGGCCAAUCUGGCUUUGUAAUUGGAAUGAUGGGAAUUUAAAACCUUCCCAAAACUCAAUUGGAGGGCAAGUCUGGUGCCAGCAGCCGCGGUAAUUCCAGCUCCAAUAGCGUAUAUUAAAAUUGUUGCAGUUAAAACGCUCGUAGUUGAAUUUCAAAGAAUCGAUAUUUUAAGUAACGCUUUGUAGAUUAAUCCACGUAACUGAUACUACGUAUCGACUUUGUGCGCAUUUUUCUACUUAUGUGUUCUUUUAAUUAAAAUGAUUCUUUUUAAGAUCUUUCUUUUUUGCUUCGGCAUUUUAGGAGAUCUUGUUACUUUGAGUAAAUUAGAGUGUUCAAAGCAAACAGAUUAUAGCAUCUUUAUGCGUUUGAAUACUACAGCAUGGAAUAACAAAAUUGAACAAGUCAGAAUUUUGUUCUUUUUUCUUAUUUUGGCUUAGUUACGAUUAAUAGGAGUAGCUUGGGGGCAUUUGUAUUCAGAUGUCAGAGGUGAAAUUCUUAGAUUUUCUGGAGACAAACAACUGCGAAAGCAUUUGCCUAAAAUACUUCCAUUAAUCAAGAACGAAAGUUAAGGGAGUGAAGACGAUCAGAUACCGUCGUAAUCUUAACCAUAAACUAUGCCGACUAGGC